GAUUAACGCGAAGAACCUUACCUGGUCUUGACAUCCACGGAAGUUUUCAGAGAUGAGAAUGUGCCUUCGGGAACCGUGAGACAGGUGCUGCAUGGCUGUCGUCAGCUCGUGUUGUGAAAUGUUGGGUUAAGUCCCGCAACGAGCGCAACCCUUAUCCUUUGUUGCCAGCGGUCCGGCCGGGAACUCAAAGGAGACUGCCAGUGAUAAACUGGAGGAAGGUGGGGAUGACGUCAAGUCAUCAUGGCCCUUACGACCAGGGCUACACACGUGCUACAAUGGCGCAUACAAAGAGAAGCGACCUCGCGAGAGCAAGCGGACCUCAUAAAGUGCGUCGUAGUCCGGAUUGGAGUCUGCAACUCAACUCCAUGAAGUCGGAAUCGCUAGUAAUCGUGGAUCAGAAUGCCACGGUGAAUACGUUCCCGGGCCUUGUACACACCGAAUCACUAGU
RNAcentral lists this ribosomal RNA (448 nucleotides) under uncultured bacterium. Its description in RNAcentral is "bacterial SSU rRNA". It matches the Rfam family "Bacterial small subunit ribosomal RNA", at positions 954 to 1402 of the family's 1533-position model. The record is from RNAcentral.